AUAGACAGCCAUUAAAUUGAUGCUUUCAAUUUAUUGAGCAAUAAAUUCUAUUCCACUUAAUCCUCUCAUAGCCACAUAUCUUUCCGGCUAAGGGAAAUGGAAAUCUUUCUCUUGUUACAUGAAUCAAAUGUUUCAUUUCAUCCGGAAAAGCAACUUUUUCUCAAAAAUGUAGUAGUCAUUUGAUCGAAUAGCAUUUUGUUAGAUAGGAACAGAUUUGAUAAAUAUUGAUAACUCUUGGAUGGAGUAUUAAAAU
Molecule: long non-coding RNA, 253 nt
Organism: Telopea speciosissima
Lineage: Eukaryota; Viridiplantae; Streptophyta; Magnoliopsida; Proteales; Proteaceae
Exons: 2
Source: RefSeq, a predicted model, not a curated record